GACGAACCGUGCGAACGUUAUUCGGAAUCACUGGGCUUAAAGCGCGUGUAGGCGGACGACCACGUCGACGGCUGAAAGCCCCCGGCUCAACCGGGGGACCGGCCCCGAUACGGGCCGUCUGGAGGGGCGUAGGGGGAGCUGGAACUCACGGUGGAGCGGUGAAAUGCGUUGAGAUCGUGAGGAACGCCCGCGGCGAAAGCGAGCUCCUGGACGCCUGCUGACGCUGAGACGCGAAAGCCAGGGGAGCGAACGGG
Molecule: unclassified non-coding RNA, 254 nt
Filed under: uncultured Planctomycetia bacterium
Lineage: Bacteria; Pseudomonadati; Planctomycetota; Planctomycetia
Description: contains 16S-23S intergenic spacer region
Rfam family: Bacterial small subunit ribosomal RNA
Source: RNAcentral